Molecule: ribosomal RNA, 253 nt
Filed under: uncultured bacterium
Lineage: Bacteria
Description: partial 16S ribosomal RNA
Rfam family: Bacterial small subunit ribosomal RNA
Source: RNAcentral
UACGGAGGGGGCUAGUGUUGUUCGGAAUUACUGGGCGUAAAGGGCUCGUAGGCGGCCAACUAAGUCGGAUGUGAAAUCCCCAGGCUUAACCUGGGAACUGCAUCCGAUACUGGAUGGCUUGAAUCCGGGAGAGGGAUGCAGAAUUCCAGGUGUAGCGGUGAAAUGCGUAGAUAUCUGGAGGAAUACCGGUGGCGAAGGCGGCAUCCUGGACCGGCAUUGACGCUGAUGAGCGAAAGCUAGGGGAGCAAACGGG